This 490-nucleotide ribosomal RNA is filed under the name uncultured bacterium. RNAcentral describes it as "partial 16S ribosomal RNA". It matches the Rfam family "Bacterial small subunit ribosomal RNA", at positions 29 to 507 of the family's 1533-position model. The record is from RNAcentral.
AAUGAACGCUGGCGGCAUGCCUUACACAUGCAAGUCGAACGGCAGCAUGACCUAGCUUGCUAGGUUGAUGGCGAGUGGCGAACGGGUGAGUAAUGCAUCGGAACGUGCCUUUUAGUGGGGGAUAACGUAGCGAAAGUUACGCUAAUACCGCAUAUUCUCUGAGGAGGAAAGCAGGGGACCUUCGGGCCUUGCGCUAGAAGAGCGGCCGAUGUCGGAUUAGCUAGUUGGUGAGGUAAAGGCUCACCAAGGCAACGAUCCGUAGCGGGUCUGAGAGGAUGAUCCGCCACACUGGGACUGAGACACGGCCCAGACUCCUACGGGAGGCAGCAGUGGGGAAUGUUGGACAAUGGGCGCAAGCCUGAUCCAGCCAUGCCGCGUGAGUGAAGAAGGCCUUCGGGUUGUAAAGCUCUUUCGGCUGGGAAGAAAUCGCACCCUCUAAUACAGGGUGUGGAUGACGGUACCAGCAUAAGAAGCACCGGCUAACUACGUG